CUCUUCCGGGUCACUCAUGGGCGGAAGGUGGUGUGCAGAGCGGCUUCUGUGCUCUUCCUAGGAUGGAAGCAGCAGCUGGGAGACAAAGAGGAUGGCAAUAAGAGCACUCUGGACAACUGAGAAUAACAAGCAACUUUACAUAAAAAGUCAAGGGAGAUUAUUUUUCAUUCAGAAAAAAGGGAUAUAUCUCUGGAAGUCAGUGGGGAGGAAAAGGUCAAUUGCCAUGCAGUGUUGCAGUCCUUGCCCUGGGAGGAAAAAAAACAGCGUGAAACAAAACACCACUAAACAAGGGACCGUCCAUAUUUUUGACCUCCUCAGGAAUAUCAGUUGUGGAAAAGUUUCAUAGACGUGCCUACUGUAGGAAAGAGAAAAACUGCAAAUCACAGCUGAUUAUGCAUAAGAGGAUUCACACUGGAGAAAAACCAUACAAACACUCUGACUAUGACAAACCAUUUGGUCAAAACAGCUCUGUUAUGGUUCAUGGAAGGCUAGAGCAGCCCUACAAGUGCUCCCAAUGUGGUAAAUUCUUUAGUGAGCAUGGCAAAUUGGUGAUACAUCAGAGGACUCACACCAGGGAAAAACCAUAUGAGUGUCCAGAUUGUGGGAAAAGUUUCAGUCACAAUUCCAAUCUUGUGAAACAACAGAGAACUCACACUGGGGAGAAACCUUUUGAUGUCCUGACUCCGGGAAAAGCUUGAGUUACAAUUCCAACCCACUGAUACACCAGAAGAUUCACAUAGGAGAGAAACCCUUUGAAUGUUGUGAUUGUAAGAAAUCUUUCAGUCAGAAUUCCCAUCUUGUACAACACCAGAGGAAUCACACAGGAGAGAAACCCUUUGAAUGUCCUAUCUGUGGGAAAGGUUUCAGGCAGAAAUCUAGCCUGAUGAACCAUCAGAGAACACACACAGGAGAGAAACCCUUUGAAUGUCCUGAUUGUGGGAAAAGUUUCAUUAGAAAUUCCCACCUCAGGAGGCACCAGAGGACUCACGCAGGAGACAAGCCCUAUGAAUGUCUUGAUUGUGGGAAAAGUUUCGGUCAGAAUUCCCACCUCAUGAGACACCAGAGGACUCACACAGGAGAAAAACCCUUUGAAUGUCCAGAUUGUGGGAAAA
Non-coding RNA from Notechis scutatus (mainland tiger snake), 1112 nucleotides. NCBI's taxonomy places the organism in Eukaryota, Metazoa, Chordata, Lepidosauria, Squamata, Elapidae. The record is from RefSeq and is a predicted model, not a curated record.